This is a non-coding RNA of Ictidomys tridecemlineatus (thirteen-lined ground squirrel), 1023 nucleotides long. The record is from RefSeq and is a predicted model, not a curated record. NCBI's taxonomy places the organism in Eukaryota, Metazoa, Chordata, Mammalia, Rodentia, Sciuridae.
CAGAGACUUGAAGGUACCAGAUUUCUCAUAAAUAGCGUGAGUUAGAAGGCAGGAGAACAAAACCUACAAAGGCCAGAAGGGUCUAAGUUUCACCCUGUAAUACUGCAUUCAUUCAUUCAGCCAAUAUUUCUGAACAUCUCUGUGGUCCUGGGAGCAAAAAUCCUGUCCUCCGGGAAGUUCUUCUGUCAUGCUCGGUUUGGGAUGGAGUCCUCUCUGUGCAGAAUAAGAAGAAUUGUGUGCUAGGACCUCGGGGUCAAGAAGGAGGUAUAGACUCCAGAAGACCUGGGGAACAGGAGGUGACCCGUGAGAGACGCUGAGGAGAAGAACCACAGAAGGUUAGCAAUGGGACGAAAGAGUCAGGCUGGAUAUACCUCAGGGUGGACAGAGGAUGUGCCAUAUACUCCAGUCCUUAAGCCCAGCAUUAAAAACCAAUACAUAUAGAGCAUUUACUGUGUGGCAGACACAUUUUAAGAGAUGUGCAUAUAGUUUACUUCAUCCUGACAACUACUCCUUAAGGCAAGGACUACUAUGACUCCCCUUUCAGAGAUGAGGAAAGUAAGUCACAAGUAACUUGCUCCUGUUUCCAAGGCUACUAAAUGACGAAACCUGGAUUCAAACCCAGGUUGGCUCCUGGCCUCACGUUCUCAGCCAAAUUACCACAUUGCAUUAUAUUGUUGUUACUACUGUUUUUAAGUUUCUAUAGGCAGAAAAUACUAUUUAAAUCGAAUUCCAAGGUAGUGCAGGGUGUUGCAAAACACAUUUUAAAAUAAGAAGGAAAGGACUACAUCUGAUAAGAAGGCGAAGCAGUGGUACAAACGAAAACCAAGGCCAACCAGAAGAAGCAAGGACUGAGAAGCUAAAUGAAUGGAAGGCUGAGGGUGAGGCUGAGUGACAGAGCCGAGCGGCGUAGAGGAAACCAGCCUCCAGGAAGGAAGAGCAUUCUGCUUUGCAAAGAACUUGCUAAAAGAAGCAAGACUCUCCAAUGCCACGGACAUUCUGUUUCCUUCUAUUUCCAUUUAAAUC